Molecule: long non-coding RNA, 345 nt
Filed under: Gossypium barbadense (sea-island cotton)
Lineage: Eukaryota; Viridiplantae; Streptophyta; Magnoliopsida; Malvales; Malvaceae
Description: long non-coding RNA (GBAR_LNC020579)
Source: RNAcentral
CAACAUCGUCCUGAUAUAAAUACACUACCACUUAUCCAUUUACUUUAAUUCUUUUGGGCCCAUUUGUCACUUACCAUCUUUAAUCAAACUAGGGAACGGUCACGGAAAAUUGAGUACUUCACUUUCACUUUGCCAUAGUAUAACUAUGGUCUUACGUAUGAUCACUUAUCACUUGUCCCUGAUCAGAUAAGUGUAGCCACCUAUCACUUUGUUUCUUGAUCACAUAAGUGUAGCCACUUAUCACUUUGUUUCUUGAUCAGAUAAGUGUAGCCACUUAUCACUUUGUUUCUUGAUCAGAUAAGUGUAGCCACUUAUCACUUUGUCUCUUGAUCAGAUAAGUAUAGC